GACGGAGGAUGCAAGCGUUAUCCGGAAUUAUUGGGCGUAAAGCGUCCGCAGGUGGCUGUUCAAGUCUGCUGUCAAAGCGCAGAGCUUAACUCUGUACAGGCGGUGGAAACUGAAGAGCUAGAGUAUGGUAGGGGUAGAGGGAAUUCCAGGUGUAGCGGUGAAAUGCGUAGAUAUCUGGAGGAACACCGGUGGCGAAGGCGGCAUCCUGGACCGGCAUUGACGCUGAGGAGCGAAAGCCAGGGGAGCAAACGGG
This 253-nucleotide ribosomal RNA is filed under the name uncultured bacterium. RNAcentral describes it as "partial 16S ribosomal RNA". It matches the Rfam family "Bacterial small subunit ribosomal RNA", at positions 524 to 776 of the family's 1533-position model. The record is from RNAcentral.